This 253-nucleotide ribosomal RNA is filed under the name uncultured prokaryote. RNAcentral describes it as "partial 16S ribosomal RNA". It matches the Rfam family "Bacterial small subunit ribosomal RNA", at positions 525 to 777 of the family's 1533-position model. The record is from RNAcentral.
ACGAACCGUCCAAACGUUAUUCGGAAUUACUGGGCUUAAAGGGUGCGUAGGCGGCGCGGAAAGUUGGGUGUGAAAUCCCUCGGCUCAACUGAGGAACUGCCUUUGAAACUGUCGGGCUCGAGGCCGGGAGGGGGUAGCGGAAUUCCCAGUGUAGCGGUGAAAUGCGUAGAUAUUGGGAGGAACACCGGUGGCGAAGGCGGCUACCUGGACCGGUUCUGACGCUGAUGCGCGUAAGCGUGGGUAGCAAACAGGA